AUGCAGAGGGUGCGAGCGUCAAUCGGAAUUACUGGGCGUAAAGCGCGCGUAGGCGGUCUAUUAAGUCAGAUGUGAAAUCCCAGGGCUCAACCUUGGAACUGCAUCUGAUACUGGUAGACUAGAGUUUUGGAGAGGGAAGUAGAAUUUCAGGUGUAGCGGUGAAAUGCAUAGAGAUCUGAAGGAAUACCAGUGGCGAAGGCGACUUCCUGGCCAAAAACUGACGCUGAGGUGCGAAAGCGUGGGUAGCAAACGGGAUUAGAAACCCUAGUAGUCC
This 274-nucleotide ribosomal RNA is filed under the name uncultured bacterium. RNAcentral's name for it is "partial 16S ribosomal RNA". It matches the Rfam family "Bacterial small subunit ribosomal RNA", at positions 523 to 796 of the family's 1533-position model. The record is from RNAcentral.